CUAUAAAGUAGGGUAAGCAGAUUUUAAUAGGUUUUACCUUAGCCUUAUCAGUGAACUGUAUUUCCACAAAUUCUCUCCAUUGAUCUUCUGGAAUUAGUCCUCGUCUUGCUUCAAAUGCUUUCUCUAUAGUAUUUCUUCUAUACUUCAUCCAAAUAUGUUGCUUUAAGUCUUUACAUCUACCUCCUAAUGCAGAUAAAACAUAUUUCCUCCUCCUCCUUGAUUUUUUUUUUUCUGUUUUUAUUUAAAACUAGAUUUUAAUCCGCGGUACACCGCGGAGACAAUUCAUUUUUUAAAAUUAAUAUAUAUAAAAAUUUGUAAAUUAUUUUAUAGUUUACCAUUGUUACUAAGUAACGUCCUGCCAAACCCGUCCUGCCAAACCUGUCCACAAAAAAAACUAAUUAUUUUAUUAAUAUUGAUCUUAUUUAUAAUAUGUUUAUGAAUCAUUGUCAAAAUCUUUUAGUCGAUGCGGGACGUUGAACCCACACAUUUUCGCCAAUUGGUUAAUAUAUGUUCAUUCUUAAAAUUUCGAAUCACAAAAUAUGACGAAAGUUUUUUUGAGAUUUUUUUAAACUCUAUAUAUUAUAUAAUGAUGUUAAUUAUUUUUGAUAGAUUAAACUUUUUAU
Molecule: small RNA, 623 nt
Filed under: Arabidopsis thaliana (thale cress)
Lineage: Eukaryota; Viridiplantae; Streptophyta; Magnoliopsida; Brassicales; Brassicaceae
Description: ATSL155250
Source: RNAcentral